This 253-nucleotide ribosomal RNA is filed under the name uncultured bacterium. RNAcentral describes it as "partial 16S ribosomal RNA". It matches the Rfam family "Bacterial small subunit ribosomal RNA", at positions 524 to 776 of the family's 1533-position model. The record is from RNAcentral.
UACGGAGGAUCCAAGCGUUAUCCGGAAUCAUUGGGUUUAAAGGGUCCGUAGGCGGUCUUGUAAGUCAGUGGUGAAAGCCCAUCGCUCAACGAUGGAACGGCCAUUGAUACUGCAGGACUUGAAUUAUUGGGAAGUAACUAGAAUAUGUAGUGUAGCGGUGAAAUGCUUAGAGAUUACAUGGAAUACCAAUUGCGAAGGCAGGUUACUACCAAUGGAUUGACGCUGAUGGACGAAAGCGUGGGUAGCGAACAGG